Oryza rufipogon (brownbeard rice) is the source of this 208-nucleotide microRNA precursor. It matches the Rfam family "MIR812 microRNA precursor family". The record is from Rfam. NCBI's taxonomy places the organism in Eukaryota, Viridiplantae, Streptophyta, Magnoliopsida, Poales, Poaceae.
AAAAAAGUAAACCUUAAGUUUUCGUAUCCAACAUUUAGCUAUCCGUCUUAUAUGAAAUUUUUUUAUAAUUAGUAUUUUCAUUGUUGUUAGAUGAUAAAACAUGAUUAAUAUUUUUAUGCGUGACUUGUCUUUUUAAUUUUUUUCAUAAUUUUUUCAAAUAAUACAGGCGGUCAAAUAUUGGACACGGAAAUCUAGGAUUUGUCUUUUU